AAAAAAAAAACUAUAACACAUUACAUUAUAAGAGGGAGUAACUUUUUUCUAUUGAAAAAAUCUUAUAUCUUAUACUUAUAUGAUAGUAUAUUGUGAAACUAAAAGAAAUAAAAUAGAAAAAAUUAAAUAUAAAAAUUUAAAAUGAAUUUGAAUAUUCUAUUCAUAUCAUAUUAAUAUGAAUAGAAUAUUCAAAUUCAAUACUAUAAAUUUAUUUAUAUGUCGUCUAGUAUUGAAUAAUAUAGAAUAUCUAUAUGUAUCUCUAUCUAGAGAAAUCUCAUUUUUUAUUAUUUAUUNGUAGGAACUUACUUUUUUCUUAAAAAAGUAAAUAAAAAUACUUGAUAGAAUGAGAAUUUCAAUUCAAUUAUAUAGAUAUAUAGAAAAAAAAAAUCUAUAAUAAUAGAAAUGGAAUAAUAGAAAUGGGAAUUAUUGAUCAAAAUGAAUAGUAUUAAAAUAUUUUAUUUUGGAGACAAGA
RNAcentral lists this long non-coding RNA (472 nucleotides) under Vigna radiata. RNAcentral's name for it is "long non-coding RNA (VRAD_LNC000465)". Lineage: Eukaryota; Viridiplantae; Streptophyta; Magnoliopsida; Fabales; Fabaceae. The record is from RNAcentral.